CCUACGGGAGGCUGCAGUGAGGAAUAUUGGUCAAUGGACGAGAGUCUGAACCAGCCAAGUCGCGUGAAGGAUGACUGCCCUAUGGGUUGUAAACUUCUUUUAUAUGGGAAUAAAAUGUUCCACGUGUGGGAUUUUGUAUGUACCAUAUGAAUAAGGAUCGGCUAACUCCGUGCCAGCAGCCGCGGUAAUACGGAGGAUCCGAGCGUUAUCCGGAUUUAUUGGGUUUAAAGGGAGCGUAGGUGGAUUGUUAAGUCAGUUGUGAAAGUUUGCGGCUCAACCGUAGAAUUGCAGUUGAAACUGGCAGUCUUGAGUACAGUAGAGGUGGGCGGAAUUCGUGGUGUAGCGGUGAAAUGCUUAGAUAUCACGAAGAACUCCGAUUGCGAAGGCAGUUCACUGGACUGCAACUGACACUGAGGCUCGAAAGUGUGGGUAUCAAACAGGAUUAGAUACCCCAGUAGUC
This 460-nucleotide ribosomal RNA is filed under the name uncultured bacterium. RNAcentral's name for it is "partial 16S ribosomal RNA". It matches the Rfam family "Bacterial small subunit ribosomal RNA", at positions 338 to 795 of the family's 1533-position model. The record is from RNAcentral.